Molecule: transfer RNA, 58 nt
Filed under: Salmo salar (Atlantic salmon)
Lineage: Eukaryota; Metazoa; Chordata; Actinopteri; Salmoniformes; Salmonidae
Rfam family: tRNA
About the family: Transfer RNA (tRNA) molecules are approximately 80 nucleotides in length.
Source: Rfam by way of RNAcentral
UGACUCAGUUGGUAGAGUGUGGUGCUUGCAAUGCUAGGGUUGUGGGUUCCAUUCCCAU